GACGAACGCUGGCGGCGUGCCUAAUACAUGCAAGAAGAACGCUGAAGAGAGGAGCUUGCUCUUCUUGGAUGAGUUGCGAACGGGUGAGUAACGCGUAGGUAACCUGCCUUGUAGCGGGGGAUAACUAUUGGAAACGAUAGCUAAUACCGCAUAACAAUGGAUGACCCAUGUCAUUUAUUUGAAAGGGGCAAAUGCUCCACUACAAGAUGGACCUGCGUUGUAUUAGCUAGUAGGUGAGGUAACGGCUCACCUAGGCGACGAUACAUAGCCGACCUGAGAGGGUGAUCGGCCACACUGGGACUGAGACACGGCCCAGACUCCUACGGGAGGCAGCAGUAGGGAAUCUUCGGCAAUGGGGGCAACCCUGACCGAGCAACGCCGCGUGAGUGAAGAAGGUUUUCGGAUCGUAAAGCUCUGUUGUAAGUCAAGAACGAGUGUGAGAGUGGAAAGUUCACGCUGUGACGGUAGCUUACCAGAAAGGGACGGCUAACUACGUGCCAGCAGCCGCGGUAAUACGUAGGUCCCGAGCGUUGUCCGGAUUUAUUGGGCGUAAAGCGAGCGCAGGCGGUUUGAUAAGUCUGAAGUUAAAGGCUGUGGCUCAACCAUAGUUCGCUUUGGAAACUGUCAAACUUGAGUGCAGAAGGGGAGAGUGGAAUUCCAUGUGUAGCGGUGAAAUGCGUAGAUAUAUGGAGGAACACCGGUGGCGAAAGCGGCUCUCUGGUCUGUAACUGACGCUGAGGCUCGAAAGCGUGGGGAGCGAACAGGAUUAGAUACCCUGGUAGUCCACGCCGUAAACGAUGAGUGCUAGGUGUUGGAUCCUUUCCGGGAUUCAGUGCCGCAGCUGACGCAUUAAGCACUCCGCCUGGGGAGUACGACCGCAAGGUUGAAACUCAAAGGAAUUGACGGGGGCCCGCACAAGCGGUGGAGCAUGUGGUUUAAUUCGAAGCAACGCGAAGAACCUUACCAGGUCUUGACAUCCCGAUGCUAUUUCUAGAGAUAGAAAGUUACUUCGGUACAUCGGUGACAGGUGGUGCAUGGUUGUCGUCAGCUCGUGUCGUGAGAUGUUGGGUUAAGUCCCGCAACGAGCGCAACCCCUAUUGUUAGUUGCCAUCAUUCAGUUGGGCACUCUAGCGAGACUGCCGGUAAUAAACCGGAGGAAGGUGGGGAUGACGUCAAAUCAUCAUGCCCCUUAUGACCUGGGCUACACACGUGCUACAAUGGUUGGUACAACGAGUUGCGAGUCGGUGACGGCAAGCUAAUCUCUUAAAGCCAAUCUCAGUUCGGAUUGUAGGCUGCAACUCGCCUACAUGAAGUCGGAAUCGCUAGUAAUCGCGGAUCAGCACGCCGCGGUGAAUACGUUCCCGGGCCUUGUACACACCGCCCGUCACACCACGAGAGUUUGUAACACCCGAAGUCGGUGAGGUAACCUUUUGGAGCCAGCCGCCUAAGGUGGGAUAGAUGAUUGGGGUG
RNAcentral lists this ribosomal RNA (1470 nucleotides) under uncultured bacterium. RNAcentral describes it as "bacterial SSU rRNA". It matches the Rfam family "Bacterial small subunit ribosomal RNA". The record is from RNAcentral.